RNAcentral lists this ribosomal RNA (120 nucleotides) under Streptomyces prunicolor. Its description in RNAcentral is "partial 16S rRNA". It matches the Rfam family "Bacterial small subunit ribosomal RNA", at positions 162 to 283 of the family's 1533-position model. The record is from RNAcentral. Lineage: Bacteria; Bacillati; Actinomycetota; Actinomycetes; Kitasatosporales; Streptomycetaceae.
UCUAAUACCGGAUAAUACUYCUGCACUCAUGUGUGGGGGUUAAAAGCUCCGGCGGUGCAGGAUGAGCCCGCGGCCUAUCAGCUUGUUGGUGAGGUAAUGGCUCACCAAGGCGACGACGGG